This 418-nucleotide ribosomal RNA is filed under the name uncultured Bifidobacterium sp. RNAcentral describes it as "bacterial SSU rRNA". It matches the Rfam family "Bacterial small subunit ribosomal RNA", at positions 394 to 815 of the family's 1533-position model. The record is from RNAcentral. Lineage: Bacteria; Bacillati; Actinomycetota; Actinomycetes; Bifidobacteriales; Bifidobacteriaceae.
AGACCGCGUGGGGGAAGAAGGCUCUUGGGUUGUAAACCCCUUUUCUCUGGGAAGAAAGUUGUGAAAGCAACCUGACGGUACCAGAGGAAUCAGCAUCGGCUAACUACGUGCCAGCAGCCGCGGUAAUACGUAGGGUGCAAGCGUUAUCCGGAUUUAUUGGGCGUAAAGGGCUCGUAGGCGGUUCGUCGCGUCUGGUGUGAAAGUCCAUCGCUUAACGGUGGAUCUGCGCCGGGUACGGGCGGGCUGGAGUGCGGCAGGGGAGACUGGAAUUCCCGGUGUAACGGUGGAAUGUGUAGAUAUCGGGAAGAACACCAAUGGCGAAGGCAGGUCUCUGGGCCGUUACUGACGCUGAGGAGCGAAAGCGUGGGGAGCGAACAGGAUUAGAUACCCUGGUAGUCCACGCCGUAAACGGUGGAUG